Non-coding RNA from Pelobates cultripes (western spadefoot toad), 250 nucleotides. The record is from the annotation of a GenBank genome assembly. Lineage: Eukaryota; Metazoa; Chordata; Amphibia; Anura; Pelobatidae.
GUCUCUUUUGCCCUUUUCACAGCCCCUCUGUGUCUCUUUGUGUCUCCCCAGUCCUUCUGGGUGCCUCCCCCCCAAUCCCUGUAUGUCUCUUUUGCCCCUUCCCCAGUCCCUCUGUGGCUCUCACAUUCACACAGACACUCCACAGAAAUAAUAUGAUGAUACGUUGGGGACAGUGUAAUGUGAUUGUUGGUGAUAGGUUCUAAGGGUGCUGUGGUAUUUGUGUAGGUGAUCUGAUUUGAGGUAUUGGGGG